ACACGGAGGAUGCGAGCGUUAUCCGGAUUUAUUGGGUUUAAAGGGAGCGUAGGUGGGAUAUUAAGUCAGCUGUGAAAGUUUGGGGCUCAACCUUAAAAUUGCAGUUGAUACUGGUUUCCUUGAGUACGGUACAGGUGGGCGGAAUUCGUGGUGUAGCGGUGAAAUGCUUAGAUAUCACGAAGAACUCCGAUCGCGAAGGCAGCUCACCGGGCCGGAACUGACACUGAUGCUCGAAAGUGCGGGUAUCAAACAGGAUUAGAUACCCUGGUAGUCCGCACAGUAAACGAUGAAUACUCGCUGUUUGCGAUACACGGUAAGCGGCCAAGCGAAAGCGUUAAGUAUUCCACCUGGGGAGUACGCCGGCAACGGUGAAACUCAAAUGAAUUGACGGGG
Molecule: ribosomal RNA, 393 nt
Filed under: uncultured bacterium
Lineage: Bacteria
Description: partial 16S ribosomal RNA
Rfam family: Bacterial small subunit ribosomal RNA
Source: RNAcentral